Acomys russatus (golden spiny mouse) is the source of this 132-nucleotide small nucleolar RNA. RefSeq annotates it as small nucleolar RNA SNORA17. The record is from RefSeq and is a predicted model, not a curated record. The transcript has a single exon. Lineage: Eukaryota; Metazoa; Chordata; Mammalia; Rodentia; Muridae.
CCUGCCCCAAGAAGCAUUGUGGGUGCAGCUGCUGUGUCACCUGUGCAUCAGAAGGUGGCAGAGAGGAGAGAGGCCACGUCCACACUCAGUGUUCUGACCUGUGGACAUCUGAAUAGUUAGUAGCUUAACAUU